UCCACUGCUCCAGGCUGUUCCCAACCCACACUGCCCUUCCAGGCCCUGCCACCUCCCAACCACUUCCUGGGGACAACAGCCAUCUCCUUUGGACCAGGCCACAGGGGGACACUCUGGGAUCAGCCUCCUGUGAUGGAUUUUCAUGUGUCCCAUGGCAGUGGGGUGUCUUCUAGGCUGCACUCACCUGGAAGGAGUUUUCUUUGCUUCCCUGCUGGCUGAGGCUGCAGACUCUGGAAUAAAUCUGGAAUUGACUUUCCUAAUGGACUGCAAUGAGAGGAAACAUCUCUGGCCAGGCCUCAUCAGUGACGUGGGAGUGUCCAGUUCAAGCUGGAGAGGAGAGGGCUCCCACAUCUCAAAACACCCUGAAUUCCUGUGGAUGAGGGCUUACAACACCCUGCUGCAGCCUGGGCACCUGCAGGGCUGGGCAGCAGGCACAGAACAGUUAAGUGACUUGCACAAGGGUGAAUCAGCAGGACUUGAGGAACUCAACCUGAAGGCAGGUGCUGAGCUGCAGGAACUGACACAGCCCCACAGCAGUGCCACCAGGUGAGACCCUGCACCCCCUGAGCCCAGCAGUGCCACCAGGAGUGACCCUGGCACAGCUCCACAGCAGUGCCACCAGGUGAGACCCUGCACCCCCUGAGCCCAGCAGUGCCACCAGGAGUGACCCUGACACAGCCCCACAGCAGUGCC
This is a long non-coding RNA of Serinus canaria (Common canary), 693 nucleotides long. RefSeq lists it as uncharacterized. The record is from RefSeq and is a predicted model, not a curated record. Lineage: Eukaryota; Metazoa; Chordata; Aves; Passeriformes; Fringillidae. The transcript is spliced from 3 exons.